Molecule: transfer RNA, 71 nt
Filed under: Neotoma lepida (desert woodrat)
Lineage: Eukaryota; Metazoa; Chordata; Mammalia; Rodentia; Cricetidae
Rfam family: tRNA
About the family: Transfer RNA (tRNA) molecules are approximately 80 nucleotides in length. Their secondary structure includes four short double-helical elements and three loops (D, anti-codon, and T loops).
Source: Rfam by way of RNAcentral
GAGGGUGUAGUUCAGUGGUAGAGCCCUUGCCUAUAAUGUAAAGGCCUUGGAUUCAAUCCCCAGCACCUCCA